AAAGAAGAGUUAUAGCACAGCCAGUGUCUGUGUAAUCUUACUCCUCAUAUUGUCCUGCCAAUGUUUCUCAACCCUGACUUGGAAGGACCAACUCCAGA
Molecule: unclassified non-coding RNA, 98 nt
Organism: Chelonoidis abingdonii (Abingdon island giant tortoise)
Lineage: Eukaryota; Metazoa; Chordata; Testudines; Testudinidae
Source: Ensembl